Molecule: ribosomal RNA, 497 nt
Filed under: uncultured bacterium
Lineage: Bacteria
Description: partial 16S ribosomal RNA
Rfam family: Bacterial small subunit ribosomal RNA
Source: RNAcentral
GACGAACGCUGGCGGCGUGCCUAAUACAUGCAAGUUGAGCGGUGAAGGUUGGUACUUGUACCAACUGGAUGAGCAGCGAACGGGUGAGUAACGCGUGUGGAAUGUGCCUUUGAGCGGGGGACAACAUGGGGAAACGAAUGCUAAGACGGCAUAAAAACUUUAAACACAGGUGGGAAGUGUAAGAGAUGCAAGUGCAGCACGCAAAGAUGAUCCCGCGUUGUAUUAGCGAGUUGGUGAGGUAAAGGCGCAUCAAGGCGAUGAUACAUAGCACACCUGAGAGGGUGAUCGGCCACCUUGGGACUGAGACACGCCCCAAACUCAUACGGGAGGCAGCCGUACGGCAUCUUCGGCAAUGGACGAAAGUCUGACCGCGAAACGCCGCGUGCGUGAACAGCGUUGUCGGAUCGUAAAACUCUGUCUGUAGAGAAGAACCUUCGUGCGCGUGGAACGCUCCUCAAGUGACGGUAACUACCCAGAAAGGGACGGCUAACUACGUG